GCCUGGGUGGUUCAGCUGGUAGAGCAUAUGACUUUUGAUCUUGAGGUCAUGAGUUCGAGCCCCACAUUGGGUA
RNAcentral lists this transfer RNA (73 nucleotides) under Mustela putorius furo (domestic ferret). It matches the Rfam family "tRNA". From Rfam's summary of the family: Transfer RNA (tRNA) molecules are approximately 80 nucleotides in length. Lineage: Eukaryota; Metazoa; Chordata; Mammalia; Carnivora; Mustelidae. The record is from Rfam by way of RNAcentral.